CCUACGGGUGGCAGCAGUGAGGAAUAUUGGUCAAUGGACGAGAGUCUGAACCAGCCAAGUAGCGUGAAGGAUGACUGCCCUAUGGGUUGUAAACUUCUUUUAUAUGGGAAUAAAAUGUUCCACGUGUGGGAUUUUGUAUGUACCAUAUGAAUAAGGAUCGGCUAACUCCGUGCCAGCAGCCGCGGUAAUACGGAGGAUCCGAGCGUUAUCCGGAUUUAUUGGGUGUAAAGGGAGCGUAGGUGGAUUGUUAAGUCAGUUGUGAAAGUUUGCGGGUCAACCGUAAAAUUGCAGUUGAAACUGGCAGUCUUGAGUACAGUAGAGGUGGGCGGAAUUCGUGGUGUAGCGGUGAAAUGCUUAGAUAUCACGAAGAACUCCGAUUGCGAAGGCAGUUCACUGGACUGCAACUGACACUGAGGCUCGAAGGUGUGGGUAUCAAACAGGAUUAGAUACCCCAGUAGUC
RNAcentral lists this ribosomal RNA (460 nucleotides) under uncultured bacterium. Its description in RNAcentral is "partial 16S ribosomal RNA". It matches the Rfam family "Bacterial small subunit ribosomal RNA", at positions 338 to 795 of the family's 1533-position model. The record is from RNAcentral.